GCCGGGUUAGCUCACUCGGUUAAGGCGCUGACUUUGUGGAGCAGAAGUGACUAUCACGGCGCGGGUUCGAUCCCAGUUGUCGGCA
Gymnothorax javanicus (giant moray) is the source of this 85-nucleotide non-coding RNA. The record is from the annotation of a GenBank genome assembly. NCBI's taxonomy places the organism in Eukaryota, Metazoa, Chordata, Actinopteri, Anguilliformes, Muraenidae.